UACGGGGGGGGCAAGCGUUGUUCGGAAUUACUGGGCGUAAAGGGCUCGUAGGCGGCCAACUAAGGCGGAUGUGAAAUCCCCAGGCUUAACCUGGGAACUGCAUCCGAUACUGGAUGGCUUGAAUUCGGGAGAGGGAUGCAGAAUUCCAGGUGUAGCGGUGAAAUGCGUAGAUAUCUGGAGGAAUACCAAUUGCGAAGGCAGGUUACUACUAGUGGAUUGACGCUGAUGGACGAAAGCGUGGGGAGCGAACAGG
This 253-nucleotide ribosomal RNA is filed under the name uncultured bacterium. RNAcentral describes it as "partial 16S ribosomal RNA". It matches the Rfam family "Bacterial small subunit ribosomal RNA", at positions 524 to 776 of the family's 1533-position model. The record is from RNAcentral.